RNAcentral lists this ribosomal RNA (253 nucleotides) under uncultured prokaryote. RNAcentral describes it as "partial 16S ribosomal RNA". It matches the Rfam family "Bacterial small subunit ribosomal RNA", at positions 525 to 777 of the family's 1533-position model. The record is from RNAcentral.
ACAGAGGGGGCAAGCGUUAUUCGGAAUUACUGGGCGUAAAGGGCUCGUAGGCGGCCAACUAAGUCAGACGUGAAAUCCCUCGGCUUAACCGGGGAACUGCGUCUGAUACUGGAUGGCUUGAGUGUGGGAGAGGGAUGCGGAAUUCCAGGUGUAGCGGUGAAAUGCGUAGAUAUCUGGAGGAACACCGGUGGCGAAGGCGGCAUCCUGGACCAUUACUGACGCUGAUGAGCGAAAGCCAGGGGAGCAAACGGGA